Bacillus rossius redtenbacheri is the source of this 296-nucleotide long non-coding RNA. RefSeq lists it as uncharacterized. The record is from RefSeq and is a predicted model, not a curated record. Lineage: Eukaryota; Metazoa; Arthropoda; Insecta; Phasmatodea; Bacillidae. The transcript is spliced from 3 exons.
GGCUAUGCGGCUGAAGAAUCGCACUGGGGCAACCGAUUUGUGAAAACGAAACGUUUUCGUUUCAUAUAGGAAACGCAACACCGAUGGCAGUUCUUCGACCAACAAGGACUGUCUACGGAGAUGGUCUCCCGGUCCAUGUUGUGGACCCAAUCGACUCAGUUGGACUGUAGCCUGCCUCUGAUGGCUCAGCGACCAAAAAAGUGCGCCAACUGCGCGGAGUGCCAGCGCAAGGACUGGGAGAGCCACCGGGUGGAGUGCGUGCUCUCUGCCACGGAUGCCUCCACCAUCACCGCCUC